UGGGGGAUAUUGCACAAUGGGCGAAAGCCUGAUGCAGCGACGCCGCGUGGGGGAUGAAGGCUUUCGGGUUGUAAACCUCUUUCGCUAUCGAACAAGGCCCGCUUAGGGUGGGUUGAGGGUAGGUGGAGAAGAAGCGCCGGCUAACUACGUGCCAGCAGCCGCUGUAAUACGUAGGGCGCGAGCGUUGUCCGGAAUUAUUGGGCGUAAAGGGCUUGUAGGCGGCUUGUUGCGCCUGCUGUGAAAACGCGGGGCUUAACUUCGCGCGUGCAGUGGGUACGGGCAGGCUUGAGUGUGGUAGGGGUGACUGGAAUUCCAGGUGUAGCGGUGGAAUGCGCAGAUAUCUGGAGGAACACCGAUGGCGAAGGCAGGUCACUGGGCCAUUACUGACGCUGAGGAGCGAAAGCAUGGGUAGCGAACAGG
This 420-nucleotide ribosomal RNA is filed under the name bacterium. RNAcentral describes it as "partial 16S ribosomal RNA". It matches the Rfam family "Bacterial small subunit ribosomal RNA", at positions 355 to 776 of the family's 1533-position model. RNAcentral also lists the same sequence under 1 other name. The record is from RNAcentral.